This 361-nucleotide ribosomal RNA is filed under the name uncultured bacterium. Its description in RNAcentral is "partial 16S ribosomal RNA". It matches the Rfam family "Bacterial small subunit ribosomal RNA", at positions 338 to 697 of the family's 1533-position model. The record is from RNAcentral.
CCUACGGGGGGCAGCAGUGAGGAAUAUUGGUCAAUGGGAGAGAGCCUGAACCAGCCAAGCCGCGUGAGGGAAGACGGCCCUAUGGAUUGUAAACCUCUUUUGUCGGGGAACAAAACCCGGGACGUGUGCCGGACUGCGAGUAUCCGAAGAAAAAGCAUCGGCUAACUCCGUGCCAGCAGCCGCGGUAAUACGGAGGAUGCGAGCGUUAUCCGGAUUUAUUGGGUUUAAAGGGUGCGUAGGGGGUCCGUUAAGUCAACGGGAAAAUUGCGGGGCUCAACCCCGUCGAGCCGUUGAAACUGGCUGCCUUGAGUUGGCGAGAAGUACGCGGAAUGCGCGGUGUAGCGGUGAAAUGCAUAGAUAU